RNAcentral lists this ribosomal RNA (301 nucleotides) under uncultured bacterium. RNAcentral's name for it is "partial 16S ribosomal RNA". It matches the Rfam family "Bacterial small subunit ribosomal RNA", at positions 509 to 807 of the family's 1533-position model. The record is from RNAcentral.
CAGCAGCCGCGGGAAUACGGAGGGGGCUAGCGUUACUCGGAAUUACUGGGCGUAAAGCGUGCGUAGGUGGUGGUUUAAGUCCGUUGUGAAAGCCCUGGGCUCAACCUGGGAAUUGCAGUGGAUACUGGGUCACUAGAGUGUGGUAGAGGAUAGUGGAAUUUCCGGUGUAGCAGUGAAAUGCGUAGAGAUCGGAAGGAACAUCUGUGGCGAAGGCGACUAUCUGGGCCAACACUGACACUGAGGCACGAAAGCGUGGGGAGCAAACAGGAUUAGAUACCCCCGUAGUCCCUGUCUCUUAUAC